RNAcentral lists this long non-coding RNA (1440 nucleotides) under Helianthus annuus (common sunflower). RNAcentral's name for it is "hypothetical non coding rna". Lineage: Eukaryota; Viridiplantae; Streptophyta; Magnoliopsida; Asterales; Asteraceae. The record is from RNAcentral.
UUUUAGAAAGCGUCGGGCAUUGAAUGGCUUCAGAGUACCCUACCCCUUCCAUUUACCGGGCGAUUGGUUUCCCCUGUCUGUUUCACUUGAAGUCUACUAUUUUAAGCCCACGUUUGAGAAGAAGGAAUCCUAAACACGCCCUUCGUCUCACCGGUCAGUUUUUCUGAAACCUUAAUUUUUCUAUUAAUGGUGAACGGCAACUGCAAUGGAUUCGAAGGGUAUUCAGAUUGAACCCAUCUCAGAUUAAACUCACAAUAACGAGGAAAGUGAUUUGUUUUCAUUUUAGUGUUUGUUUCGAAUUUUGAGUUUUGCCGAUUAGGUUUUAGCAUGAUAAUCAAGAGGAAGUUGAAAUUGGCAAUGCUAAUUUAAUCAAGUGCAGUUUCCCCCGAUUAUGGUUCAAAGCAAGCUUGAUUGCGGAAGAUGCCGACCGUAAUUGUCGAAGAACUUCAACGAAUUUAGCAUAAAUUUUCCUUUUCCAUUACCUGUUUGACAUCAACUGUCUUCGACUGCUGAAUCUAUACGCAAAGCAAAACUGUCACAAACCAUGGUGGAAGGAAAUCAGUGGAUAAGGUACUUCCCACAAGGACAUAGUGAACAGUAAAAAACCAAGAAGGCGUACCCGUUCUUCUCAUACAGGUCAUUCACGUGGGUACCGCAAAAUGGGUGGAUCCAGACAAGGCAAGCUCAUCGAGAUAGUCCUACACCAAUACUUCUAUCAGUAUUUCUCGACAUAAUUCAACCAAGAUACGAUCAAAAUCGGCUGCACUGGAUAGGGCCAGAGUAUUUCCCGACAUAAUUCAACCAAGAUACGAUCAAAAUCGGCUGCAAUGGAUAGGGCCAGAGCACUAUUAUAUAUGCUGGAUAUAAGCAACUCAGUCUUCUGGCAUCAAUCAACAGAAGCAGCAGUCACUUUACUUGGGGCCUGAUGAUCAUCUCUAUCUGGAAGGAUUUGCAUCAAAUGUCUUUGCAAAGGUCGAUAAGCAAGACCGGCUGGAAGAGCUGACAUGUAUGAUAUGCUCUACUUCUUAUGAUAUAGUUAUUGUAACAUUGGCUUACUAAAGAUUUAGCACACUAAGAAUGAUUUAAUGUGCUUAAAAAGGCUUCCAAAUUCAUAUGCCAUGGGCUCGUACAUAUAACUCUUUUUUAGCAAUUCCUCAUGAAAAACAACCGCCGCCUCUGGUUGAAGUUUAACAUUGGAGUUCAUAAUGUUUUUUUUGCUAUUCAAGGGUUUAUUGAUCAAUAGCUUUUCGGAAGUAUUUUUGCUAAGAUGUUAUGGACAUAGUAGGUUAUUACCAAUGUUGUAUAUGGUAUUGCACUUAUGAUUUAAAUAGGGUUUGUUAAAGUUAAAUUGCAAUAUGGAUUUUUUUAAGGCACUUUCUUUGUUAUGUAAGUUCUUAAUGAGCAGUUUUUAAUAGGUAUUCGCAAAUAGUGUUUAAUUAC